UCCUAACAAGGGAAUGAAGUUCUCCCGCGGCAUCACCGGAAACGCUAUCGAGCUGAUGACUUCUGCAGUGGC
Molecule: non-coding RNA, 72 nt
Filed under: Clostridiales bacterium
Lineage: Bacteria; Bacillati; Bacillota; Clostridia; Eubacteriales
Also listed under: 1 other name
Description: crcB
Rfam family: Fluoride riboswitch aptamer (crcB RNA motif)
Source: RNAcentral